This 253-nucleotide ribosomal RNA is filed under the name uncultured bacterium. RNAcentral's name for it is "partial 16S ribosomal RNA". It matches the Rfam family "Bacterial small subunit ribosomal RNA", at positions 524 to 776 of the family's 1533-position model. The record is from RNAcentral.
UACGUAGGUGACAAGCGUUGUCCGGAUUUAUUGGGCGUAAAGAGCGUGUAGGCGGCCAGGUAGGUCAGCUGUGAAAACUCGAGGCUCAACCUCGAGACGUCGGUUGAAACCACCUGGCUAGAGUCCGGAAGAGGAGAGUGGAAUUCCUGGUGUAGCGGUGAAAUGCGCAGAUAUCAGGAAGAACACCCGUGGCGAAGGCGGCUCUCUGGGACGGUACUGACGCUGAGACGCGAAAGCCAGGGGAGCAAACGGG